GUAUCGACUCCCCCUGUGCCGUCGUUAACACAAUAAGUACCCCGCCUGGGGAGUACGGUCGCAAGACUAAAACUCAAAGGAAUUGACGGGGGCCCGCACAAGCAGCGGAGCAUGUGGUUUAAUUCGAAGCAACGCGAAGAACCUUACCUAGACUUGACAUCUCCUGAAUUACCCGUAACUGGGGAAGCUCUUCGGAGCAGGAAGACAGGUGGUGCAUGGUUGUCGUCAGCUCGUGUCGUGAGAUGUUGGGUUAAGUCCCGCAACGAGCGCAACCCUUAUCGUUAGUUGCUACCAUUAAGUUGAGCACUCUAGCGAGACUGCCCGGGUUAACCGGGAGGAAGGUGGGGAUGACGUCAAAUCAUCAUGCCCCUUAUGUCUAGGGCUACACACGUGCUACAAUGGUGAGGACAAAGAGACGCAAGACCGCGAGGUGGAGCAAAUCUCACAAACCUCAUCCCAGUUCGGAUUGCAGGCUGAAACUCGCCUGCAUGAAGCCGGAGUUGCUAGUAAUCGCGAAUCAGCAUGUCGCGGUGAAUACGUUCCCGGGCCUUGUACACACCGCCCGUCACACCAUGAGAGUUGGCAAUACCCGAAGUCCGUGGGGUAACCGUAAGGGGCCAGCGGCCGAAGGUAGGGUCAGCGAUUGGGGUGAAGUCGUA
This 659-nucleotide ribosomal RNA is filed under the name uncultured bacterium. Its description in RNAcentral is "bacterial SSU rRNA". It matches the Rfam family "Bacterial small subunit ribosomal RNA", at positions 829 to 1490 of the family's 1533-position model. The record is from RNAcentral.